RNAcentral lists this ribosomal RNA (301 nucleotides) under uncultured bacterium. RNAcentral describes it as "partial 16S ribosomal RNA". It matches the Rfam family "Bacterial small subunit ribosomal RNA", at positions 509 to 807 of the family's 1533-position model. The record is from RNAcentral.
CAGCAGCCACGGGAAUACGUAGGGUGCGAGCGUUAAUCGGAAUUACUGGGCGCAAAGCGUGCGCAGGCGGCUGUGUAAGACAGGUGUGAAAUCCCCGGGCUUAACCUGGGAACUGCAUUUGUGACUGGCGGGCUAGAGUAUGGCAGAGGGGGGUAGAAUUCCACGUGUAGCAGUGAAGUGCGUAGAGAUGUGGAGGAAUACCGAUGGCGAAGGCAGCCCCCUGGGCCAAUACUGACGCUCAUGCACGAAAGCGUGGGUAGCAAACAGGAUUAGAUACCCCUGUAGUCCCUGUCUCUUAUAC